AGGGGUGCGUCGCUGGCGCGCGGAUUAACAACGACCAUCAACAAACAAUCGAUUCAGAACUGGCACGGACCAGGGAAAUCCGACUGUCUAAUUAAAACA
RNAcentral lists this ribosomal RNA (99 nucleotides) under Chrysochromulina rotalis. RNAcentral's name for it is "partial Eukaryotic large subunit ribosomal RNA". Lineage: Eukaryota; Haptophyta; Prymnesiales; Chrysochromulinaceae. The record is from RNAcentral.